GAACGUACGCUGGCGGCACGCCUAACACAUGCAAGUCGAACGAAGUAGCAAUACUUAGUGGCAGACGGGUGAGUAACAUGUAGGUAUCUGCCCUUUGGCCUGGAAUAACACGAGGAAACUUGUGCUAAUACCGGAUAAGUCUUUACGGAGAAAGCUUUAUGCACCAUUGGAUGAGCCUGCACUUGAUUAGUUUGUUGGUGGGGUAAUGGCCUACCAAGACUGUGAUCAAUAGCUGAUUUGAGAGGAUGAUCAGCCACAUUGGGACUGAGACACGGCCCAAACUCCUACGGGAGGCAGCAGUGGGGAAUCUUGCACAAUGGAGGAAACUCUGAUGCAGCGAUGCCGCGUGAGUGAAGAAGGCCUUUGGGUUGUAAAGCUCUUUCGUCGGGGAAGAAAAUGACUGUACCCGAAUAAGAAGGUCCGGCUAACUUCGUGCCAGCAGCCGCGGUAAUACGAAGGGACCUAGCGUAGUUCGGAAUUACUGGGCUUAAAGAGUUCGUAGGUGGUUGAAAAAGUUGGUGGUGAAAUCCCAGAGCUUAACUCUGGAACUGCCAUCAAAACUUUUCAGCUAGAGUAUGAUAGAGGAAAGCAGAAUUUCUAGUGUAGAGGUGAAAUUCGUAGAUAUUAGAAAGAAUACCAAUUGCGAAGGCAGCUUUCUGGAUCAUUACUGACACUGAGGAACGAAAGCAUGGGUAGCGAAGAGGAUUAGAUACCCUCGUAGUCCAUGCCGUAAACGAUGUGUGUUAGACGUUGGAAAUUUAUUUUCAGUGUCGCAGCGAAAGCGAUAAACACACCGCCUGGGGAGUACGACCGCAAGGUUAAAACUCAAAUGAAUUGACGGGGACCCGCACAAGUAGUGGAGCAUGUGGUUUAAUUCGAAGAUACGCGCAGAACCUUACCAACACUUGACAUGUUCGUCGCGACUCUAAGAGAUUAGAGUUUUCGGUUCGGCCGGACGAAACACAGGUGCUGCAUGGCUGUCGUCAGCUCGUGUCGUGAGAUGUUGGGUUAAGUCCCGCAACGAGCGCAACCCUCACUUUUAGUUGCCAUCAUUAAGUUGGGCACUCUGAAAGAACUGCCAGUGAUAAGCUGGAGGAAGGUGGGGAUGACGUCAAGUCCUCAUGGCCCUUACGUGUUGGGCUACACACGUGCUACAAUGGUAUCUACAACAGGAAGCAAAACUGCGAAGUUAAGCAAAUCCCUAAAAGAUACCUCAGUUCGGAUUGCACUCUGCAACUCGAGUGCAUGAAGCUGGAAUUACUAGUAAUCGUGGAUCAGCGUGCCACGGUGAAUGCGUUCCCGGGUCUUGUACACACCGC
RNAcentral lists this ribosomal RNA (1319 nucleotides) under uncultured Alphaproteobacteria bacterium. RNAcentral's name for it is "bacterial SSU rRNA". It matches the Rfam family "Bacterial small subunit ribosomal RNA", at positions 27 to 1393 of the family's 1533-position model. The record is from RNAcentral. Lineage: Bacteria; Pseudomonadati; Pseudomonadota; Alphaproteobacteria.